UGGAGCGAAUCUCAAAAAGAUAGUCUCAGUUCGGACUGUGGGCUGCAACCCGCCCACACGAAGUCGGAGUUGCUAGUAAUCCCAAAUCAGCAUGUUGGGGUGAAUGCGUUCCCGGGUCUUGUACACACCGCCCGUCACGCCAUGGGAGUUGGGAGUACCCAAAGUCGGUGACCUAACCUGCAAAGGAAGGAGCCGCCUAAGGUAAUACCGAUGACUGGGGUGAAGUCGUAACAAGGUACC
This 240-nucleotide ribosomal RNA is filed under the name uncultured bacterium. RNAcentral's name for it is "partial 16S ribosomal RNA". It matches the Rfam family "Bacterial small subunit ribosomal RNA", at positions 1263 to 1500 of the family's 1533-position model. The record is from RNAcentral.